RNAcentral lists this ribosomal RNA (231 nucleotides) under uncultured bacterium. RNAcentral describes it as "partial 16S ribosomal RNA". It matches the Rfam family "Bacterial small subunit ribosomal RNA", at positions 28 to 238 of the family's 1533-position model. The record is from RNAcentral.
GAUGAACGCUGGCGGCGUGCUUAACACAUGCAAGUCGAGCGAAGCGCUUAUCAUUGACUCUUCGGAAGAUUUGGUAUUUGACUGAGCGGCGGACGGGUGAGUAACGCGUGGGUAACCUGCCUCAUACAGGGGAAGUAACAGUUAGAAAUAGGCUGCUAAUAGCCGCAUAAGCGCACAGGACCGCAUGGUCCGGUGUGAAAACUAGAGGUGGUAUGAGAUGGACCCGCGUCU